UUUGGCUGCUGUAUGAAGAAUGGCUUAGAGAGAAGCAAGACAGAAACAGGGAUUCCAGAUAGAAGGUUCCUGAAGGGAUCCCAGCAAGAGAACACAGGGGUCUAGAUUCGGGGGCCGGGGGCCUCGGCAGCAGAGUUGGAACGAAACAGAAAGAUCUUUCUGACUGUAAUGUGGACAGCUAUGUGCAGGGUGAUGCCAGAGACGAGAGAGACCAGAUCUUGGCGACCAGCUGCAACUCAGGAGCACCAGAGCUGAGCUGAUUCAUGAACUGAUGGCUCCAGCCUCCCUGCAUCCCCUGCUUGAUGGACCUGCUGGCUCUGCCACCCCCAGCACCACUGGCCAGUGACCAAGGAGAGCAC
This is a long non-coding RNA of Orcinus orca (killer whale), 359 nucleotides long. RefSeq lists it as uncharacterized. The record is from RefSeq and is a predicted model, not a curated record. Lineage: Eukaryota; Metazoa; Chordata; Mammalia; Artiodactyla; Delphinidae. The transcript has 3 exons.